AUUGAACGCUGGCGGUAUGCUUAACACAUGCAAGUCGAACGGCAGCAUGGUCUAGCUUGCUAGACUGAUGGCGAGUGGCGGACGGGUGAGUAACGCGUAGGAAUAUGCCUUGAAGAGUGGGACAACUUGGGGAAACUCAAGCUAAUACCGCAUGUACUCGAGAGAGUAAAGCUGGGGACCUUUAGGCCUGGCGCUUUAAGAUUAGCCUGCGUCCGAUUAGCUAGUUGGUAGGGUAAAGGCCUACCAAGGCGACGAUCGGUAGCUGGUCUGAGAGGAUGAUCAGCCACACUGGAACUGAGAGACGGUCCAGACUCCUACGGGAGGCAGGAGUGGGGAAUAUUGGACAAUGGGGGGAACCCUGAUCCAGCAAUGCCGCGUGUGGGAAGAAGGCCUGAGGGAUGUAAAGCACUUUCAGUGGGGAGGAGGUUUGGAAGGUUAAGAGCUAUUCAAAGGGACGUUACCCACAGAAGAAGCACCGGCUAACUCCGUGCCAGCCGCCGCCGUAA
Molecule: ribosomal RNA, 506 nt
Filed under: uncultured bacterium
Lineage: Bacteria
Description: partial 16S ribosomal RNA
Rfam family: Bacterial small subunit ribosomal RNA
Source: RNAcentral